RNAcentral lists this ribosomal RNA (630 nucleotides) under fungal sp. Its description in RNAcentral is "SSU rRNA". It matches the Rfam family "Eukaryotic small subunit ribosomal RNA", at positions 325 to 958 of the family's 1831-position model. Lineage: Eukaryota; Fungi. The record is from RNAcentral.
AUGUUUGGGUAGUGGCCAAACAUGGUUGCAACGGGUAACGGAGGGUUAGGGCUCGACCCCGGAGAAGGAGCCUGAGAAACGGCUACAACAUCCAAGGAAGGCAGCAGGCGCGCAAAUUACCCAAUCCCGACUCGGGGAGGUAGUGACAAUAAAUACUGAUACAGGGCCCUUUCGGGUCUUGUAAUUGGAAUGAGUACAACUUAAAUCCCUUAACGAGGAACAAUUGGAGGGCAAGUCUGGUGCCAGCAGCCGCGGUAAUUCCAGCUCCAAUAGCGUAUAUUAAAGUUGUUGUGGUUAAAAAGCUCCUAGUUGAACCUCGGGCCUGGCUGGCGGGUCCGCCUCAUCGCGUGUACUGGCCCGGCCCGGGCCCCUCCCUCUGUGGAGCCCCAUGCCCUUCACUGGGCGUGGCGGGGAAGCAGGACUUUUUACUUUGAAAAAAUUAGAGUGCUCCAGGCUGGCCUAUGCUCAAAUACAUUAGCAUGGAAUAAUGAAAUAGGACGCGCGGUUCUAUUUUGUUGGUUUCUAGGACCGCCGUAAUGAUUAAUAGGGACAGUCGGGGGCAUCAGUAUUCGAUCGUCAGAGGUGAAAUUCUUGGAUCGAUUGAAGACACACUACUGCGAAAGCAUUUGC